AUGUCAAAUCAUCAUGCUCUUUAUGAACUGGGCUACAAACGUACUACAAUGGCGCGAACAAAGGGGAGCGAAGCCGCGAGGCGGAGCAAAUCCCAAAACCGCGUCCCAGUUCGGAUUGCAGGCUGCAACUCGCCUGCAUGAAGUUGGAAUUGCUAGUAAUCGCGAAUCAGCAUGUCGCGGUGAAUACGUUCCCGGGUCUU
Molecule: ribosomal RNA, 200 nt
Filed under: uncultured prokaryote
Description: partial 16S ribosomal RNA
Rfam family: Bacterial small subunit ribosomal RNA
Source: RNAcentral